UAUCCGUUGGUGAACCAGCGGAGGGAUCAUUACAGGACUCGCAAGACUCCUACAACCCUGUGAACUUAACUAUAAGCACGUUGCUUCGGCGGGUGUCUCGGAGGGGGUUCUCCCUCCCCGAGACGCUAAACCCGCCGACAGCCUACUAUACUCUGUCUCUUUGCGUUGGCAUCUCGAGUACAAUCAAACAAGUUAAAGCUUUCAACAACGGAUCUCUUGGUUCUG
This 225-nucleotide unclassified non-coding RNA is filed under the name plant metagenome. RNAcentral describes it as "partial contains small subunit ribosomal RNA, internal transcribed spacer 1, and 5.8S ribosomal RNA". The record is from RNAcentral.